Molecule: ribosomal RNA, 790 nt
Filed under: uncultured bacterium
Lineage: Bacteria
Description: bacterial SSU rRNA
Rfam family: Bacterial small subunit ribosomal RNA
Source: RNAcentral
UAGAGUUUGAUCAUGGCUCAGAUUGAACGCUGGCGGCAGGCUUAACACAUGCAAGUCGAGCGGUAGCACAGGGGAGCUUGCUCCCUGGGUGACGAGCGGCGGACGGGUGAGUAAUGUCUGGGAAACUGCCUGAUGGAGGGGGAUAACUACUGGAAACGGUAGCUAAUACCGCAUAACGUCGCAAGACCAAAGAGGGGGACCUUCGGGCCUCUUGCCAUCAGAUGUGCCCAGAUGGGAUUAGCUAGUAGGUGGGGUAAUGGCUCACCUAGGCGACGAUCCCUAGCUGGUCUGAGAGGAUGACCAGCCACACUGGAACUGAGACACGGUCCAGACUCCUACGGGAGGCAGCAGUGGGGAAUAUUGCACAAUGGGCGCAAGCCUGAUGCAGCCAUGCCGCGUGUGUGAAGAAGGCCUUCGGGUUGUAAAGCACUUUCAGCGAGGAGGAAGGUGGUGAGCUUAAUACGCUCAUCAAUUGACGUUACUCGCAGAAGAAGCACCGGCUAACUCCGUGCCAGCAGCCGCGGUAAUACGGAGGGUGCAAGCGUUAAUCGGAAUUACUGGGCGUAAAGCGCACGCAGGCGGUUUGUUAAGUCAGAUGUGAAAUCCCCGGGCUCAACCUGGGAACUGCAUUUGAAACUGGCAAGCUAGAGUCUCGUAGAGGGGGGUAGAAUUCCAGGUGUAGCGGUGAAAUGCGUAGAGAUCUGGAGGAAUACCGGUGGCGAAGGCGGCCCCCUGGACGAAGACUGACGCUCAGGUGCGAAGCGUGGGGAGCAAACAGGAUUAGAUACCC